UGUAACACAACAAAGACUUCUUAUGCAAACAUUCUGUCAACAGCGCUGAAAGUACAUGACUAAACUCCUCGACCUUACCAUUCUAUGAAUACACUUCUGUAAGCUACAACAACCAGACCUUCUUGCUAUCCGCUGUUACUUCAAGGCUUAAGAUCUCUCGGGAAGGACAGAGGCAGUUUGCAGAGAAAGAGUGUCCUUAAAUCACCAUGGAUCUCUUUCCACUUCAGGGAUUGGCUCUGUAGUUGAGGAAAUGAUACAGGAUUACCGCAUCAAUAGCUACAUUAAAGAUUUUUGCUCUGGUGCCCAUGCAGACCCAAUAGUAUCUACAAUAAGAUCAUGAACAUCUACAAUCGACCAUGGAGCGAUGGAAGAAUUUCGCCUAGUCUUAUGCAUUACAUUUGCUUUUGUGCAACAAGAAAGUUGGUGACUGGAACCAAGUUUCUAUGCUGUGGAUGUCUAUAUGGGAACCGGCCCGCUCAAGCUUCAUGUUGUCCAUGCUCUGCUGGAUAGCUGGACUGGUGAUGGUGAGCUGAA
Hyla sarda is the source of this 534-nucleotide long non-coding RNA. RefSeq lists it as uncharacterized. The record is from RefSeq and is a predicted model, not a curated record. The transcript is spliced from 5 exons. NCBI's taxonomy places the organism in Eukaryota, Metazoa, Chordata, Amphibia, Anura, Hylidae.